GACGAACGCUGGCGGCGUGCUUAACACAUGCAAGUCGAACGGAAAGGCCCUGCUUUUGUGGGGUGCUCGAGUGGCGAACGGGUGAGUAACACGUGAGUAACCUGCCCUUGACUUUGGGAUAACUUCAGGAAACUGGGGCUAAUACCGGAUAGGAGCUCCUGCUGCAUGGUGGGGGUUGGAAAGUUUCGGCGGUUGGGGAUGGACUCGCGGCUUAUCAGCUUGUUGGUGGGGUAGUGGCUUACCAAGGCUUUGACGGGUAGCCGGCCUGAGAGGGUGACCGGCCACAUUGGGACUGAGAGACGACCCAGACUCCUACGGGAGGCAGCAGUGGGGAAUAUUGCACAAUGGGCGGAAGCCUGAGGCAGCAACGCCGCGUGCGGGAUGACGGCCUUCGGGUUGUAAACCGCUUUCGCCUGUGACGAAGCGUGAGUGACGGUAAUGGGUAAAGAAGCACCGGCUAACUACGUG
Molecule: ribosomal RNA, 468 nt
Filed under: uncultured bacterium
Lineage: Bacteria
Description: partial 16S ribosomal RNA
Rfam family: Bacterial small subunit ribosomal RNA
Source: RNAcentral